Long non-coding RNA from Parus major (Great Tit), 1186 nucleotides. RefSeq lists it as uncharacterized. Lineage: Eukaryota; Metazoa; Chordata; Aves; Passeriformes; Paridae. The transcript has 2 exons. The record is from RefSeq and is a predicted model, not a curated record.
CAUUCACCUGAAUGUUAGGGAGAGAUUGAAUUGUAACACCUAGUUUGUAAAAGCUCAUGUGAGGUUGCUGGUCUGUUACAUGAUAAAACAGAUAACAUGGUACACUGAGAACCCUUCAGUUCCUCCUUUUUUGACUGUUAAAAGUCAAAUUUGAAAUUUCCUGUGUUGUUUCUUACUUGUAAAUUUAUUUGAGUUACUAGAAUGAGAGAGGAAUACAGCCUGGGUGACUGGUCAUAGGAUUCAUAUUGUGGAACACACAUUCUUGAUGGCCAGAAAGGAGAAUUACUCAGCUGUGUCUGUAACAGUUGCUUGAAGAUGUUACUAAACCAGCUGAAAAUGCAAACAAAUAGCUCUGGAAUCUUCUGUCUUGGUUCCAGUCACAAGCUCAAUUGAAUUGUGGUGCAGGAGGGGAGUUUACCUCCCAAUAAUAAAAAAGUCAUCAGGCUUCAGAGGCUUAGAGACAUCUGAUAGAGAAGCUGGGCAGCCUCAUCCAUCUUUGGGUUUCCCUUCAGAAAUGUGUGCCAAGUCUGUGUUAAUAUUUGUAACUGAUAAAUAGAGUAAGAUUAACUUGCUUAUUUAUCACACAUUUGCAUAACUGUCACCAUAGCCACCUCUGGCAAAGUUUUCUCCUAGACAUGUAGUUGGAGGCUGCCUUUUACUCUUUACAGGAAUAUUUUUCAUCCUGUUGUGAUACUCGUCAUGCUGAGCAACAGAAAUAUUGUGCUUCGCUUUUGUGGAAGAGCAUUCUGCAGUAUCAGUCUCUGUCAUUCUCCUUCCAGGGGGAGCUAGACUGUGGAUGUUCUAAAAUUGUUUUGAACUUCUCUGUGAAGGAAAACACGAUCACGAGUUACCACAGUGAAUGCAGAAGUGGUGGGUGUUGGUCUGUGUCUCCUCCUCCAGUGAACCCUGCCUGUUCUCUGCUGCCCAGGCUCAGGGCUGCUCUGGAGGCUGUUCCCCUGCCAGCACAAGCAAGGGAGGUGCUUCUGCAGCCUGAGGAUGUUGUGCCAAAUUCCACUUUGAUUCUAAAAAAAUGUGUACACCAGUUAGAAAAAACUGUGCAUAUCAAAGGUUGCCUUGUUUGGAAGAAGAGUAUAAAUAUUUGUAUCAGGCUAGACAAAUUCAAAUGAGAAGAUAAACAUACAUUUUUAACACAUGGAUGAUUAAACGUUGGAAGAAGUUGCCAAGA